AAAAAGUCUGAAUUGAGAAAUGUAAACUCAGAAUUCCGAGAAAAAAAGUCUGAAUUGUGAGAUGUAAACUCAGAAUUCCAAGAAAAAAGUCUGAAUUGCAAGAUGUAAACUCAGAAUUCCGAGAAAAAAAAUCUGAAUUGCGAGAUGUAAACUAAGAAUUCCAAGAAAAAAGUCUAAAUUGCGAGAUGUAAACUCAGAAUUCCGAGAAAAAAGUCUGAAUUGCGAGAUGUAAACUAAGAAUUCCAAGAAAAAAGUCUAAAUUGCGAGAUGUCAACUCAGAAU
Rhinichthys klamathensis goyatoka is the source of this 282-nucleotide long non-coding RNA. RefSeq lists it as uncharacterized. The record is from RefSeq and is a predicted model, not a curated record. The transcript has 3 exons. NCBI's taxonomy places the organism in Eukaryota, Metazoa, Chordata, Actinopteri, Cypriniformes, Leuciscidae.